RNAcentral lists this ribosomal RNA (253 nucleotides) under uncultured bacterium. Its description in RNAcentral is "partial 16S ribosomal RNA". It matches the Rfam family "Bacterial small subunit ribosomal RNA", at positions 524 to 776 of the family's 1533-position model. The record is from RNAcentral.
UACGUAGGGGGCAAGCGUUGUCCGGAUUUAUUGGGUUUAAAGGGUGCGUAGGUGGCCCUGUAAGUCAGUGGUGAAAUAUCUCAGCUUAACUGAGAGGGUGCCAUUGAUACUGCAGGGCUUGAGUACAGAUGAGGUAGGCGGAAUUGACGGUGUAGCGGUGAAAUGCAUAGAUAUCGUCAAGAACACCGAUAGCGAAGGCAGCUUACCUAGCUGUAACUGACACUGAGGCACGAAAGUGUGGGGAUCAAAUCGG